GACUCCGUAGCUCAGCUGGAUAGAGCAGCCGCCUUCUAAGCGGCAGGUCGUUGGUUCGAGCCCAACCGGGGUCG
Molecule: transfer RNA, 74 nt
Organism: Methylobacterium sp. Leaf93
Lineage: Bacteria; Pseudomonadati; Pseudomonadota; Alphaproteobacteria; Hyphomicrobiales; Methylobacteriaceae
Rfam family: tRNA
About the family: Transfer RNA (tRNA) molecules are approximately 80 nucleotides in length. Their secondary structure includes four short double-helical elements and three loops (D, anti-codon, and T loops). Further hydrogen bonds mediate the characteristic L-shaped molecular structure. tRNAs have two regions of fundamental functional importance: the anti-codon, which is responsible for specific mRNA codon recognition, and the 3' end, to which the tRNAs corresponding amino acid is attached (by aminoacyl-tRNA synthetases). tRNAs cope with the degeneracy of the genetic code in two manners: having more than one tRNA (with a specific anti-codon) for a particular amino acid; and 'wobble' base-pairing, i.e. permitting non-standard base-pairing at the 3rd anti-codon position.
Source: Rfam